AAAUUAAAUUAUUUCUAAUUUUUAUUUAUUUAUAAGUUUAAAUUAUAUGUAUGUUUUUUUUGUUUUAAAAAAUUUAAUAUUUAAAUAAUUAAUUUAAUUUAUAAAAUUUUAAUAAUUAAUUUUUAUUUUAAAUUAAAUAAAUUUAAAAUAAGUAAUAUUUUAAUAAUUAUUAAUUAAAAUUGUGCCAGCAAUUGCGGUUAUACAAUUAAUAAAAAAUAAAUAUUUUUAAAUAUAAUUUAAAAUGUCAAAUAAUAAAUUUAAAAAAUUAAAUUUAAUUAGUAAAAUAAUAAAAUUUAUAAUAAAAAUUAAUUUAUUUAAGUUAAUAUUUUAAAAUUAAAAAAUUUUUUUAAGACUAGGAUUAGAUACCCUAUUAUAUAAAUUAAUAAUAAAUUAAAUUUAAUUAGUAAAAUUAUUGAAAAUUAAAGAAUUUGACGGUAUUUAAAUCAUUUUAGAGGAAUUUGUAUAAUAAUUGAUAAUCCACAAUUUAUUAAACUUAUUUUUAAAAUUUUGUAUAUCGUUGUUAUAAAAAUAUUUUUUAUAAAUUUAUUAAUAUUUAAAAUUUUAAAUUUAAAAUUAUAUCAAAUCAUGAUACAAAUUAUAUAAAUAAGAAAAAUAUGAAUUACAAUAAUAAUUUAAUAAUUAUAAUUUUUUUUUAUGAAAUAAAAAAAUUUAAAUUGGAUUUAAUUGUAAUUAAAAACAUUUAUUUUUAAUGAUUAAAGUUUUUAAAUAUGUACAUAUUGCCCGUCGCUCUUAUUAUAUUAUAAAAUUAAUUAAGAUAAGUCGUAACAAAGUAGAGAUAUUGGAAAAUGUUUCUAGAAUUAUA
Molecule: non-coding RNA, 823 nt
Filed under: Cheumatopsyche speciosa
Lineage: Eukaryota; Metazoa; Arthropoda; Insecta; Trichoptera; Hydropsychidae
Source: RNAcentral